GACAGAGGUCCCGAGCGUUAGGCGGAAUCACUGGGCUUAAAGCGUGUGUAGGCGGAUGCCUAAGUACCUUGUGAAAUCCCACGGCUCACCCGUGGAACUGCUUGGUAUACUGGGUGUCUUGAGCCACUUAGGGGCAACCGGAACAAAUGGUGGAGCGGUGAAAUGCGUAGAUAUCAUUUGGAACGCCAAUGGUGAAAACAGGUUGCUGGGAGUGUGCUGACGCUGAGACACGAAAGCCAGGGGAGCGAAUGGG
Molecule: ribosomal RNA, 253 nt
Filed under: uncultured bacterium
Lineage: Bacteria
Description: partial 16S ribosomal RNA
Rfam family: Bacterial small subunit ribosomal RNA
Source: RNAcentral